This 71-nucleotide transfer RNA is filed under the name Cavia porcellus (domestic guinea pig). It matches the Rfam family "tRNA". Rfam says of the family: Transfer RNA (tRNA) molecules are approximately 80 nucleotides in length. Their secondary structure includes four short double-helical elements and three loops (D, anti-codon, and T loops). Further hydrogen bonds mediate the characteristic L-shaped molecular structure. tRNAs have two regions of fundamental functional importance: the anti-codon, which is responsible for specific mRNA codon recognition, and the 3' end, to which the tRNAs corresponding amino acid is attached (by aminoacyl-tRNA synthetases). tRNAs cope with the degeneracy of the genetic code in two manners: having more than one tRNA (with a specific anti-codon) for a particular amino acid; and 'wobble' base-pairing, i.e. permitting non-standard base-pairing at the 3rd anti-codon position. Lineage: Eukaryota; Metazoa; Chordata; Mammalia; Rodentia; Caviidae. The record is from Rfam by way of RNAcentral.
GGUGGUGUGGUUUAGUGGUACAGCGCUUGCCAGUAUGCUUGAGGCCCUGGAUUCUAUUUCCAGAACCACCA